Non-coding RNA from Vicia faba (fava bean), 261 nucleotides. Lineage: Eukaryota; Viridiplantae; Streptophyta; Magnoliopsida; Fabales; Fabaceae. The record is from the annotation of a GenBank genome assembly.
AUGGGGUUAUGCUUUGGUUGCUUCGACGGAGGCAACAAGCGUAUGACAAAGGAGGAAGAGAGAUUAGCCUCUGAAGAAGCACGUGCUAGAGCCGCCGAAGCCGCCCAGAAAAAGCAAGAACAACAAGAAGAUGUAAAACAACCUGCGGAAAAGCAACCUGAAAAUUCAAACAAUGGAGAACCGAUUACAGAUGGGUUGAAGCUAGACAAUUUAUCUGUCCGAGUGAAUUGUUUAUUACGUGUAAGUUCUAAGAAUGUAUAG